This is a transfer RNA of Camelus ferus (Wild Bactrian camel), 72 nucleotides long. It matches the Rfam family "tRNA". From Rfam's summary of the family: Transfer RNA (tRNA) molecules are approximately 80 nucleotides in length. NCBI's taxonomy places the organism in Eukaryota, Metazoa, Chordata, Mammalia, Artiodactyla, Camelidae. The record is from Rfam.
GGGUAUAUAGUUCAGUGGUAGAAUGUAUGCUUAGCAUACACAAGAUCCUGGGUUCAAUCCCCAGUACCUCCA